GGGGGAUUAGCUCAGAUGGCUAGAGCGCCUGCCUUGCACGCAGGAGGUCAUCGGUUCGAUUCCGAUAUUCUCCA
This 74-nucleotide transfer RNA is filed under the name Flavobacteriales bacterium. Its description in RNAcentral is "tRNA-Ala". It matches the Rfam family "tRNA". Rfam says of the family: Transfer RNA (tRNA) molecules are approximately 80 nucleotides in length. Their secondary structure includes four short double-helical elements and three loops (D, anti-codon, and T loops). The record is from RNAcentral. RNAcentral also lists the same sequence under 1 other name. Lineage: Bacteria; Pseudomonadati; Bacteroidota; Flavobacteriia; Flavobacteriales.